UGAUGGUACCUUACUACUCGGAUAACCGUAGUAAUUCUAGAGCUAAUACGUGCGCACAACCCGACUUCUGGAAGGGUCGUAUUUAUUAGAUCAAAGACCGACCGGCUUGCCGACCCUCGGUGAAUCAUGAUAACUUCACGAAUCGCAUGGCCUUUGUGCCGGCGAUGUUUCAUUCAAAUUUCUGCCCUAUUAACUUUCGAUGGUAAGAUAGAGGCUUACCAUGGUGCCGAUGGGUGACGGGGAAUUAGGGUUCGAUUCCGGAGAGGGAGCCUGAGAAACGGCUACCACAUCCAAGGAAGGCAGCAGGCGCGCAAAUUACCCAAUCCCGACACGGGGAGGUAGUGACAAGAAAUAACAAUACUUGGCUCUUUCGAGUCCGGUAAUUGGAAUGAGUACAAUCUAAACCCCUUAACGAUGAUCCAUUGGAGGGCAAGUCUGGUGAACUGCUGACGCCAGAGAUAGUAGGGCAGCCAAAACCUUGGUUGCUAUGCCUGCUAGUCGAGUAGUCGUACAAAUAUGGAAUGGGUUGACUACCGGCGAGAUGACCUGGAACGGGGAAGGCUAACCUGCUGAGCGCAGCAGCAUGCUAAUCCCGUGGCGAGCUAGCAUAGGGUGACUUAUGCCAAGCCGUCGUAACGCACGCAAAGGCAUCGGCACAACUCGGCAGAGUUGGCUUAAGGGACGUGCUAAUCCCAUGCGAAAGCAUGCUCAAAGCACUAGCACCCAUUCUGCAAAGGCUUUGAGGGGCUAAAACAUCUUGAGGAAAUGCUUGAUGUUGCCCGGUAGGUGUCACAUACUGUGACCGUAUGGCCAGCAGCCGCGGUAAUUCCAGCUCCAAUAGCGUAUAUUUAAGUUGCUGCAGUUAAAACGCUCGUAGUCGGUCUUCGGGAGGGCUGCUUCGGUUCGCCUUUUGGUGAUACUGUCGCAGCCCUCUUUACUGCCGGUGCCUGGCUCCUGGGCUUCAUUGUCCGGGACUAGAAGUCGGCAUUGUUACUGUGAGAAAAUUGGAGUGUUCAAAGCAAGCAAACGCUAUGCACACUUUAGCAUGGAAUAACGAUUAUUGGACUCGCGUCCAGUCGUUGGUCUAUGGUCUGCGAGUAACGACCAAUGGGGGCGAUCGGGGGCAUUCGUAUUGCAGUGCUAGAGGUGAAAUUCUUGGAUUUCUGCAAGACGAACAGCUGCGAAAGCGUUUGCCAAGGGCGCUUUCGUCGAUCAAGAACGAAAGUUGGGGGCUCGAAGACGAUUAGAUACCGUCCUAGUCUCAACCAUAAACGAUGCCGACUAGGGAUCGGCGAGGGUUCAAUCAACGACCUCGCCGGCACCUCAUGAGAAAUCAAAGUGUUUGGGUUCCGGGGGGAGUAUGGUCGCAAGGCUGAAACUUAAAGGAAUUGACGGAAGGGCACCACCAGGCGUUAAUGCUCUAGCGCCAGUGACCUGGCAACAGGUUGCUAGUCUUUGAUUACAAAGGCGAGACUGUCAAAUUGCUCGGAAGCCCUAAAACCUUGCUUACCAAGCUGUUUGUGAAAGCAAGCAGUGGCUCAGGUUGCCAAGCCUGAGGUAUGGUGACAACAGCAAUGGGUGACCGGCUAGCAGCCGGGAAAUGGGUCAUGAGCAGCCAAGCCCUAAAGGUGUAGAAACAUACCCAUGGGUGCAGUUCACAGACUAAAUGGCAGUCGGCCAAUGUGCAUGGGCACAUGGGCUUAAGAUAUAGUCGGCCCCCACCGAGAGGUGGCCUGUGAGAGGAAACUGUCACCGGCAGUGGAGAGCUCAUGGGGCAAGGCAAUAGUACAAACUGCUGCAAAUGCAGUUUGGGCACUCUAGAGGGCCUGCUUUGCGGAAUCAGCGGGAGCCUGUGGCUUAAUUUGACUCAACACGGGAAAACUUACCAGGUCCAGACAUAGUGAGGAUUGACAGAUUGACAGCUCUUUCUUGAUUCUAUGGGUGAAACGUUAGUGUUACACUACUGCCCAUCAAAGCACAUGCCCGGAGAGCUGCCGGGGAAAGCAUGCUGCUAGUCGGCACACAUCCGUUAUGGCAAGGAUGUGUGGCCGGCAAGACCAUCGAAUUGCGGGGACACCCUGAGAGCCUGUGCUACCAAGCUGUCAGCCGAAAGGCGCAGUGGCCGGGGUAACGACCUAGGGUACGGUAAAAACGCACAGGAUUGGGCAAUCCGCAGCCAAGCCCCUACGUGCAGUAGCAUAUGGGGAAGGUUCAGAGACUAGGUGGUGGUCGGUCCCCAACACAGCAAGACAUUGCAGUUUGGGGGCUUAAGAUAGAGUCCGUCCACACCGAGAGGUGUACUUGAGAUGAAAGCCCUAGCCGGGCAGGAGCUCAAGUGUGAUGCGCAUCAAAGUGGCUACACAUCAUGGUGCUUAUACAUGAGUCGGUGACUCAAAUGUCGCGACCAUGUUGGCCAUGUUGAGUAGCCAUGCGGCAUCAUGGAGUACGCGGGUGGUGCAUGGCCGUUCUUAGUUGGUGGGUUGCCUUGUCAGGUUGAUUCCGGUAACGAACGAGACCUCAGCCGCUAAAUAGUCACUUCCAGUUCGCUGGUUGGUAGACUUCUUAGAGGGACUUUCACCGUCUAGGUGAAGGAAGCGUGAGGCGAUAACAGGUCUGUGAUGCCCUAGA
RNAcentral lists this ribosomal RNA (2628 nucleotides) under Reticulocystis yunnanensis. RNAcentral's name for it is "partial 18S ribosomal RNA". The stretch from base 1 to 1544 matches the Rfam family "Eukaryotic small subunit ribosomal RNA". Lineage: Eukaryota; Viridiplantae; Chlorophyta; Trebouxiophyceae; Chlorellales; Oocystaceae. The record is from RNAcentral.